RNAcentral lists this ribosomal RNA (223 nucleotides) under uncultured bacterium. RNAcentral describes it as "partial 16S ribosomal RNA". It matches the Rfam family "Bacterial small subunit ribosomal RNA", at positions 943 to 1167 of the family's 1533-position model. The record is from RNAcentral.
GGUUUAAUUCGAUGAUACGCGAGGAACCUUACCCGGGCUUGAACUGCCAGUGACUCAUGCAGAGACGCGAUGUUUCUUCGGACACUGGCGGAGGUGCUGCAUGGUUGUCGUCAGCUCGUGCCGUGAGGUGUCGGCUUAAGUGCCAUAACGAGCGCAACCCUUCUCCCUGUUUGCCAUCGGGUAAUGCCGGGCACUCCAGGGACACUGCCAUCGUAAGAUGUGA